This 899-nucleotide long non-coding RNA is filed under the name Mytilus galloprovincialis (Mediterranean mussel). Lineage: Eukaryota; Metazoa; Mollusca; Bivalvia; Mytilida; Mytilidae. The record is from RNAcentral.
GAUAACAGGGUUUCCCCUGGGUCAAUUAUUUUUUUCGCCACCUCUUUCGCCAAAAAAAUAUAUUUUUCGCCACUUUAUUAUUUUUUUCGCUAAGUAACACAAAUAUAUUUUUCUUUUAAAAUUUUCCAUCCCCCCCUCCAAAACAAGAAGUGGUUUUUACAACAAAACAGAACAUUUUACCACUUGAAAUUUGUCCCUCGUGUAAGGUGUAGUCAUUACAUUGAAGUGUUACUGUCAUGCCAACCUAACCUUUUGAAUAGAUUUCUUCCAUAACGACAGUUUUCUUUUCUAGACCAUCGUAAUGCUUGAAACAUUGAAACACGUGUGUCACUGAAACGACUUUAAAGUACCCACUCAAAUCAAUAAUUAUUAUCUAUAUCAAAGUUAAAUGAUAAAGUUUUAAAUCAGAGACCUUUCUUGCUUUUGAAGAUUUUUCGUCAUAACAACAGUUUUCUUUUCUUGACUAUCAUUAAAAGAAGGAUCGAGAGGAAGCGUCAACAUUUUGCUUCAACACGUGCGUCGCAAAGUGGCAAAAUCCCGUUUGUGACAUGUAACGGACGCCAUUUAACCAUACCAUAUCAAUUUGUUAUAUAAUACAAUCAACACCUUUAUUAAUUAGUCCUUUGAUGUCGAUAGCUAUAAAUGCAAUCAGCUGAUUAUUGAUUUUCUGUCAAAAUCUUAACGAGUUCAAGGUGAAUUCCGAGUAUUGUCUGAUCGGGUAAAGUCCGAGAAACCCGAAAAAAGUAAAUAAACAAGAUGGCUGAAAAUAAAUCGUUAUAUAUAUUUCUUUCGUCAAAUUCUUUCGCCAAUGACGAAUUUUAAUCGCCACAAUUAUUAUUUUUUCGCAAAUUGCGAAAAUGGCGACCGCCAGCGGAAACCCUGCUUGAUAAAACAUAAAA